GACGAACGCUGGCGGCGUGCCUAAUACAUGCAAGUCGAACGAACUCUGGUAUUGAUUGGUGCUUGCAUCAUGAUUUGCAUUUGAGUGAGUGGCGAACUGGUGAGUAACACGUGGGAAACCUGCCCAGAAGCGGGGGAUAACACCUGGAAACAGAUGCUAAUACCGCAUAACAACUUGGACCGCAUGGUCCGAGUUUGAAAGAUGGCUUCGGCUAUCACUUUUGGAUGGUCCCGCGGCGUAUUAGCUAGAUGGUGGGGUAACGGCUCACCAUGGCAAUGAUACGUAGCCGACCUGAGAGGGUAAUCGGCCACAUUGGGACUGAGACACGGCCCAAACUCCUACGGGAGGCAGCAGUAGGGAAUCUUCCACAAUGGACGAAAGUCUGAUGGAGCAACGCCGCGUGAGUGAAGAAGGGUUUCGGCUCGUAAAACUCUGUUGUUAAAGAAGAACAUAUCUGAGAGUAACUGUUCAGGUAUUGACGGUAUUUAACCAGAAAGCCACGGCUAACUACGUGCCAGCAGCCGCGGUAAUACGUAGGUGGCAAGCGUUGUCCGGAUUUAUUGGGCGUAAAGCGAGCGCAGGCGGUUUUUUAAGUCUGAUGUGAAAGCCUUCGGCUUAACCGAAGAAGUGCAUCGGAAACUGGGAAACUUGAGUGCAGAAGAGGACAGUGGAACUCCAUGUGUAGCGGUGAAAUGCGUAGAUAUAUGGAAGAACACCAGUGGCGAAGGCGGCUGUCUGGUCUGUAACUGACGCUGAGGCUCGAAAGUAUGGGUAGCAAACAGGAUUAGAUACCCUGGUAGUCCAUACCGUAAACGAUGAAUGCUAAGUGUUGGAGGGUUUCCGCCCUUCAGUGCUGCAGCUAACGCAUUAAGCAUUCCGCCUGGGGAGUACGGCCGCAAGGCUGAAACUCAAAGGAGUUGACGGGGGCCCGCACAAGCGGUGGAGCGUGUGGUUUAAUUCGAAGCUACGCGAAGAACCUUACCAGGUCUUGACAUACUAUGCAAAUCUAAGAGAUUAGACGUUCCCUUCGGGGACAUGGAUACAGGUGGUGCAUGGUUGUCGUCAGCUCGUGUCGUGAGAUGUUGGGUUAAGUCCCGCAACGAGCGCAACCCUUAUUAUCAGUUGCCAGCAUUAAGUUGGGCACUCUGGUGAGACUGCCGGUGACAAACCGGAGGAAGGUGGGGAUGACGUCAAAUCAUCAUGCCCCUUAUGACCUGGGCUACACACGUGCUACAAUGGAUGGUACAACGAGUUGCGAACUCGCGAGAGUAAGCUAAUCUCUUAAAGCCAUUCUCAGUUCGGAUUGUAGGCUGCAACUCGCCUACAUGAAGUCGGAAUCGCUAGUAAUCGCGGAUCAGCAUGCCGCGGUGAAUACGUUCCCGGGCCUUGUACACACCGCCCGUCACACCAUGAGAGUUUGUAACACCCAAAGUCGGUGGGGUAACCUUUUAGGAACCAGCCGCCUAAGGUGGGACAGAUGAUUAGGGUG
This 1489-nucleotide ribosomal RNA is filed under the name Lactiplantibacillus pentosus. RNAcentral describes it as "bacterial SSU rRNA". It matches the Rfam family "Bacterial small subunit ribosomal RNA". The record is from RNAcentral. Lineage: Bacteria; Bacillati; Bacillota; Bacilli; Lactobacillales; Lactobacillaceae.